UAUAGAAUUUUUGAUCAAUAGGUUGUAUUUUAAUAAACUUUUAAAAUUUUCCAUUUUAGAAAAAUUAUCAUUUUUAGAGAAAAAAAUGAAGAUUUUAGAUUAUGAUUUAGAAACUAGGAUAACAACAAUAUUUGUUGAUAGAUGAGUAUUCUUUUAAAAAAAUUUGGUCAAUAUGUUGUAUUUUUCAAUUAAACUUUUAAAAAUUUCUAUUUUUGGAUAGUUAAUGCUUUUUAGAGAAAAUAAGGCAGAUUUGAGAUUGUCUUUAAGAAAUUAGGAAAACAUGAAUACUUGUUGAUAGAUGAGUAUUAUUAUAGAAUAUUUUAUCAAAAGCUUGUAUAUUCUAAAUAAACUUUUAAUAAUUUACAUUUUUGGAAAGUUAUCACUUUUUUAGAUAAAA
RNAcentral lists this long non-coding RNA (397 nucleotides) under Brassica napus (rape). RNAcentral's name for it is "long non-coding RNA (BNAP_LNC000118)". The record is from RNAcentral. Lineage: Eukaryota; Viridiplantae; Streptophyta; Magnoliopsida; Brassicales; Brassicaceae.